RNAcentral lists this ribosomal RNA (253 nucleotides) under uncultured bacterium. RNAcentral describes it as "partial 16S ribosomal RNA". It matches the Rfam family "Bacterial small subunit ribosomal RNA", at positions 524 to 776 of the family's 1533-position model. The record is from RNAcentral.
UACGUAGGGGGCAAGCGUUGUCCGGAAUCAUUGGGCGUAAAGAGCGUGUAGGCGGUUCGGUAAGUCUGCUGUGAAAGUCCAGGGCUCAACCCUGGAAAGCCGGUGGAUACUGUCGGACUAGAGUGCGGAAGAGGCGAGUGGAAUUCCCGGUGUAGCGGUGAAAUGCGCAGAUAUCGGGAGGAACACCGGUGGCGAAGGCGGUUCUCUGGGCCUGUACUGACGCUGAGGAGCGAAAGCGUGGGGAGCGAACAGG